Molecule: ribosomal RNA, 498 nt
Filed under: uncultured Glomeromycotina
Lineage: Eukaryota; Fungi; Glomeromycota
Description: partial small subunit ribosomal RNA
Rfam family: Eukaryotic small subunit ribosomal RNA
Source: RNAcentral
CCAAUAGCGUAUAUUAAAGUUGCUGCAGUUAAAAAGCUCGUAGUUGAAUUUCGGGAUCAAUUUGUCGGUCGUGCCUCGGUACGUACUGGCUUAUUGGUUUCUCCUUUCUGACGAACCAUGAUGUCAUUUAUUUGGUGUUGUGGGGAAUCAGGACUGUUACUUUGAAAAAAUUAGAGUGUUUAAAGCAGGCUCACGCUUGAAUACAUUAGCAUGGAAUAAUGAAAUAGGACGUUUGAUUCUAUUUUGUUGGUUUCUAGGAUCGACGUAAUGAUUAAUAGGGAUAGUUGGGGGCAUUAGUAUUCAAUUGUCAGAGGUGAAAUUCUUGGAUUUAUUGAAGACUAACUACUGCGAAAGCAUUUGCCAAGGAUGUUUUCAUUAAUCAAGAACGAAAGUUAGGGGAUCGAAGACGAUCAGAUACCGUCGUAGUCUUAACCAUAAACUAUGCCGACUAGGGAUCGGAUGAUGUUAAUUUUUUAAUGACUCAUUCGGCGCCUUACG